UAUAUAUAUAUAUAUAUAUAUAUAUAUAUCUAUGUGCGUUGUGCACGUAAACAAUGCCACCUGUUGCUGCGGGUGGGCGCUCCCCCGGUCGUCGGCCGGCCUGCAGGGAGGGACUGACCACGGCACAAUGGAGGGUGUGAGCUGACUGAAAGGAGGGUUGUUGGGGGGUUGCAGGCAGAGAUAAAGACAGACAGAUGGGGCAGACAAUGAGGCGUAAGCAGCCACCCUGCAUGCCAACAACACCCCCCCAGGCCUGCUUUAAACUUUAGCUCUUCCUUUAUCUUUCCCAUUGGGGUCAAAGUUUUUCAACAUUCACGCUUUGUGGUCUUUUCUUUUUAGCUUACCGUUCAAUAGAAUACCUUUUUAUUUUGCGAUUAGGUCUCCAAAGAAGUUGAACUUUCUCCCUGCUUCUGUGGCUUGGCCGGCCCUCCUUUUCCUUCCUCCAUCCCUACUGUUCAGCUGAUCAGAUAAAGGACACCUCGGUGGAGGGAGGGAGCGAGCGGGGGAGCAUAGAUGGUAUGGACAGACAUAGCCUUCACCUGUUGUUCUAAAAUCCCCUUGUUUGGAAAGCUGAUCCCAUCUCCCGUUCCUCAGGUUUCCACAAACAACCCCAGCUGUCGGGGAGCGGUGGAGCUCUCUGUCUCCAUCCGCCCGUCUGUCAUCCGUCUCUCACGGCCCUCGACCUGGGAGGAAGGUUUCAUCGGUUUCUUCUGCACCUCUUUGAAGAAUGUUUUGGUUCAGGAGUCGACAACAAACGCAGUUCGUGGCCACUUCCCAUUAAAAUCCAGCCGAAUCAUUUUAUUUUUGAAUGGCAGUAUUGCAAUAAAAACUUCCCAGUUGACUUUUCUCCCUCCGGGAUGAGCUUCAAAUUUUUUGGAUUCUGUUUGAUAAAAUCCACCGUAAAAAGGGCAAAGCAUGUUUCAGCUUCCUAUGUACAAUAUUUAUCAAAUUGGAGAAAUGAGGAAGCCUGAAAGUGAACCUAAAAAUAUUUUCCAGUUGCGAACGUCGCACAUACGUACAUCUCACGACAUUUCAAGUUGCUCUGUUUGUUCCCCUCUUUCCCGUAACCACGACAACAGGUUUCACAACCCACUCCAUGUUCCAGUGAACCGUUCUGCAUCGGGCCUGACUCAUGCGCAGUCAUAUCCUGCCGACACCCAUGUGCAGGCCUGGUCCUACACCAUGUGUGUAUCGUGACAGGGGCGUGACUCCAGCUGAAAAUAUGAUCCUCCUUCCGCCGGCCCGCCGGUCUCAACGCUUAGGGGGGCACAAACUGGGCGUGUUCUCUCCGAUGACUUUCCCUGCUGGGCAUCUAUUCCCCUCCCUGAAGAGGAGACCAGCUCCAGGUGUGUAUCUUCCCACACCUGGUCCAGACGCGCUCCUGAGGGAGCGGGUGGAGCAAUGCUGCUGUGGUGUAGAGGCCUCUAACAACUACGCCCCUCAGCUCCUCACAACGUGUGUGUGUGUUUGGCAGUGUCACUGAGUCAUGACUGCAAACAGAUUGGGAGACUCCAAAAUAAUUAUCAUAAUUGACUGUGACAUGUUUCUCUCUUAACACACACCGGAUCAGAUAUUACAAUAUAUGUCACAACUUUUAUCUUGUGUAAAAAAGAGAAAAUAUCAUAGUAUUUUUUUCAGAACACAGUAAGACAGUUUCAGUGUGUGUGAGUUACAGACAACACAACAGAUACAGCUAAUCUCAGUCCUCCGUCUUCUCAUUUUGUGUACGGAGAAUAUUGAAAACCUUUAUUGCGACCGCGCAAAGAGAAAUGUCAUUAUUUCUGUGAUAAAGAUCAACGUUAUUUCAGCGCCGGAGUCGAUACCUGGCAGCUCAGCGAGAUGAGGCGGCCGAUGAGGCUUCGCUGAAAUCUCGCGGAACUGGUUCGGACCACUUAUUGAGAAUAAUUUUUUUCUUUACAGCUGCUACCGCAGUAGGAGCACUACAAAUCAAUUCUGACAGCGAAGCGGGGCGCUCCCUGGAACGAAGAAGGCAAAUAACCACAAGACAGACAAGAGAGAGAGUCUCUGUCUGUCUGUUCAUGGGUGUGUGUGAGAGAGAGAGAGAGUGACUCAACCCAUGGUGACUAUAGAGACACAUUUCUCAUUAUUCUUCCACAGUAAUCAGUGCACUCCACAAUCAACACUUAAUCAUAGCUUUGAAGUGGGGUAAGUAAGGCGGUAGACACGCGGUGCGCCCACAGCUGCCCUGGCCGGACGUGUACAGUCGGACAGAUGCGUCACUCGUCAGGUGUCAGCGCAGACAUGACCGAACAGAUGGGCCCCGCCUGCUGAAUAAGGAUUAUGUGUGUGUGUGUGUGUGUGUGUGUCUCUAGACCACGGUGGGAAAACAGAUCCUCCCACAAGAAUCGGAGGAAGGACACAAUGCGCUCGCCACAGACGCACACAGGUGUACACCCGUACGUCUCGCCGCGCACAAACUGGCGGAACGCAAGCCACUCAAAAUGACCUUUGCGCCUGGGACGAAUCCAAUCAUCUAACCUGUCUGUCAGAAACGUGACCAUGUGUGUGCGUGUGUGUGUGCGCGUACAAACCUUCAUCAAUGUAAUGUAACGCAAUUCUGGAAAGCAGGAGAGCUACCAAGAAGAAGCCUCCGUGUCCGUCCACGCGCGCGUUCCUGUGUGGCUAAAGGGGUCGUCACCGGUGCACCGGUGGAGAGGACACCAGGCUGACAGCGGCAACAUUUACCGUCACUAAUGGACCCGAUAUUGGAUGUUCUGUUCCGUGGGAAACCGGCCAAUUUGGGGAAAGACGUGCUAGCCUCACAGGCCCUGCAAAAUGUACAACUCCUAUCAGCUUCUACUUUCUAUUUAGCGCUAAUAUGCACAGAGGGACAUUAUACCUGCUAGCUGCUAGCAUUCUGCUCAAAGCACCAUUGUUGGUCCUGUAAUUUGUUGAAUUCAUCAUGCGUGCAGUAUGUUCAAGCGUAGUGGGUCGUGUUCACAAAUCGACUGCGUAGUUUUCUUCUUCUUCUUCAGACAACAUGAAUGGGCGAAUUGUGAGAAAUUGCAUGAAAGUGCAUGAAACUGAACGAGCACCUGUGUCCAGUUAAGUCUUCCGAGCAUGACGAAAAGAACAAAGAGAAGCAGAAGCAAUGUUACAUUUUCUAACCUCCCUUCAUUCUACUCGUGACUGGCUCCGCAGACGUGAAAUGUCCUCGAAGCCGACAAAGAGCCGCUCAACGACCGCCACAAAGAGAAAGAGAAGAAAUCGCGUGAGAGGGCGGAUACCAACACCUGCGUUUCUGAGCCUUUGGAAAGCCCCCCCCCCCCGUACCCCUCCCCACCCCGUCCUACGCAAACAACCCCGCACGCAUGUGAAGAAAAGGCUUCUCUUCAUUCACUUUCAUCACCAUAGAUACCCAGCAGAAGUUCUCCAAAGGGCCCUCGCAUCCCGCAAAGCAGCCGAAUCCUUAACCGUUCUGCGUAACCGCCGGCAACAACCCCUA
This is a long non-coding RNA of Gasterosteus aculeatus aculeatus (three-spined stickleback), 3466 nucleotides long. Lineage: Eukaryota; Metazoa; Chordata; Actinopteri; Perciformes; Gasterosteidae. The record is from Ensembl.